GACGAACGCUGGCGGCGUGCUUAACACAUGCAAGUCGAACGGAAAGGCCCUGCUUUUGUGGGGUGCUCGAGUGGCGAACGGGUGAGUAUCACGUGAGUAACCUGCCCUUGACUUUGGGAUAACUUCUGGAAACUGGGGCUAAUACCGGAUAGGAGCUCCUGCUGCAUGGUGGUGGUUGGAAAGUUUCGGCGGUUGGGUCUGGACUCGCGGUUUAUCAGCUUGUUGGUGGGGUAGUGGCUUACCAAGGCUUUGACGGGUAGCCGGCCUGAGAGGGUGACCGGCCACAGUGGGACUGAGAUACGGCCCAGACUCCUACGGGAGGCAGGAGUGGGGAAUAUUGCACAAUGGGCGGAAGCCUGAUGCAGCAACGCCGCGUGCGAGAUGACGGCCUUCGGGUUGUAAACCGCUUUCGCCUGUGACGAAGCGUGAGUGACGGUAAUGGGGAAAGAAGCACCGGCUAACUACGU
RNAcentral lists this ribosomal RNA (467 nucleotides) under uncultured bacterium. Its description in RNAcentral is "partial 16S ribosomal RNA". It matches the Rfam family "Bacterial small subunit ribosomal RNA", at positions 28 to 506 of the family's 1533-position model. The record is from RNAcentral.